AUUGAACGCUGGCGGCAUGCCUAACACAUGCAAGUCGAACGGCAGCACAGUGCGUAGCAAUACGUAUGGGUGGCGAGUGGCGGACGGGUGAGGAAUGCAUCGGAAUCUACCCAGUAGCGGGGGAUAACCUGGGGAAACUCAGGCUAAUACCGCAUACGACCUAUGGGUGAAAGCGGGGGACCGUAAGGCCUCGCACUAUUGGAUGAGCCGAUGCCGGAUAGCUAGUUGGUAGGGUAACGGCCUACCAAGGCGACGAUCCGUAGCUGGUCUGAGAGGACGAUCAGCCACACCGGAACUGAGACACGGUCCGGACUCCUACGGGAGGCAGCAGUGGGGAAUAUUGGACAAUGGGGGAAACCCUGAUCCAGCAAUGCCGCGUGUGUGAAGAAGGCC
RNAcentral lists this ribosomal RNA (393 nucleotides) under uncultured bacterium. Its description in RNAcentral is "bacterial SSU rRNA". It matches the Rfam family "Bacterial small subunit ribosomal RNA", at positions 29 to 416 of the family's 1533-position model. The record is from RNAcentral.